CAACUGAAUAGAGUAGAAACAUAUUAAGUGUGGUGUUUCAGAAGAAUUUGCCUGAGAGUAGUCUUGGUGGGCAGAUGGGUCAGGAUUGUUGAGAACAUUGGAAGGUGUGAGAAGCCCUGUGGGGACAGUGAGGCUACAGAGGACAAAAGGCAAGAAUUAGAGAAAGAUGUCCAUAGACCCAGUCACUAGUAGACCUGGAUUGGCUAUUAAAAUAGUAGGUAAAUCUUUUACUCUCCAUGUGAUUCCUUCCUUUUCAUCUUAGACAAACUGGCUGCAAUCUCUUGGGUUGUUAAGAGAAUCAAACAGAAGCUCCUGCCCACUUGGAAACUUCAUCUGACCCAACAGAGCAGGAGAAAGACCUGGGGAGCCUGCUCAUGGGUCUGGUUUACCGCUGUAUAACUAGGGGCCAGCACAUGUUUGAACAAAGGAGAUGCUCACUUCUAGAGAGCUCCUGUAUUCCUUGAGUAUUAUCUUUCUUCCAUCUUCAAAGACAGCAAUGGUGGGUUCAGUCAUUCUUACCGUAAAUCACUUACAUCGUCUUCAUUCUUAACAUCUCUUUCUCUGACUUUCCUGUCACUCUCUCUUAUAAUAAUCCUGUGUUUAUACUGGGUCAACCUAGGUAAUCCAGGAUAAUCUCCUCAUAUCAAGAUUCUUACCUUAAUCAUAGCUUCAAAGUCAUUUUUCCAGUUGAGAUAAGAUAUUGAGAGUAUCUGGCAUUUAAAACAUGUUAAGUAGGCUAUUAUUCUGCCCAACAUAUUAUGAAAUGAUUCAGUAGUAAAAGGAACCAUCAGUACAAUAACCUGGAUCAAUCCUCAGAGAAGUAUGCUGAGUAGAAAAAGCCAAUCCCAAAGAUAGUAUUCUAUAUGAUUCUUUUUCUACAAUGAUCUUGAAUUAACAAAAUUAUAAAAAUGGGUGACCCAUUAGUUGUUGUCAGGGAUUGAAUAGGGAAUGAGAAGAAAAUGCGUGUAGCUAUAAAAUGGCAAGAUGAAACACCAUUGUGGUGGUGGAAAUGUUAUAUAUUUUGAUGGUACCACUGUCAACAUUCUGAAUGUAAUAUCAUACUACAGUUUUACACAAUGUUUUCAUUUGGAGAAAAUGAGUAAGGGAUACGGGGGACCUCUUUAAAAUUAUUUAUUAUUGCACAUGAAUCUAUAAUUGUUACAAAAUAAUAAGUUUAACAUAAAAAUGUUUAUCUCAGACAUGUUAUGAAAAUCAAUAAAUUAGGAAAUGAGAUGCUUCACAGUCCAUCUUAAUCAUUACCUAAGCACCCAGAAAAAACACUCCUGAAUUGCUCCUUCUGAGAGCUCAUGGUCUAUUCAGCAACUUGGAAAUAUACUGUCUAUGCUAAAGUGCUUGUUUCUUUCCAGGCAUCCACUUCAUCAAGGCGCUACUAAAAAUUUCAUUUAGGGAAUCAGAAGAGUGGUCUGUAUUGGAAAAAAAAUUAAGCAGUCAGCUUGAGGGAAUCUAGGUCCCUUGUCUACAGUCUGCAGUAACAAGUUGUGAGCAGAUGAUUCACAAAAUUUAUUCCUAUUGAGUAAAUAGGAGUUAUAUGUAAAAACAACAGGGUUCAGUAGUGAUAUCAUUUAUUUUGAAUUUUGGCUAGGAUCAAUGCAGUAGGUUCUUUCUCUUUCUUUCCUUCUUUCUUUCUCUCUCUUUCUUUCUUUCUUUCUUUUGAUUUUGUAUUCUAUGA
Long non-coding RNA from Prionailurus viverrinus (fishing cat), 1690 nucleotides. RefSeq lists it as uncharacterized. The transcript has 3 exons. The record is from RefSeq and is a predicted model, not a curated record. Lineage: Eukaryota; Metazoa; Chordata; Mammalia; Carnivora; Felidae.